RNAcentral lists this ribosomal RNA (1629 nucleotides) under Salmonella enterica. Its description in RNAcentral is "partial 23S ribosomal RNA". It matches the Rfam family "Bacterial large subunit ribosomal RNA", at positions 1154 to 2739 of the family's 2925-position model. The record is from RNAcentral. Lineage: Bacteria; Pseudomonadati; Pseudomonadota; Gammaproteobacteria; Enterobacterales; Enterobacteriaceae. RNAcentral also lists the same sequence under 1 other name.
CGUAUCACCCAAGACAACUUUACGGAGUUGACGAUUGACGGAGCGAAGCGACGUCAAAGCGUUCAUUAAAGUCGAGUUGGCUUAGGGAUACGUUCGUUGGGUAGGGGAGCGUUCUGUAAGCCUGUGAAGGUGGCCUGUGAGGGUUGCUGGAGGUAUCAGAAGUGCGAAUGCUGACAUAAGUAACGAUAAAGCGGGUGAAAAGCCCGCUCGCCGGAAGACCAAGGGUUCCUGUCCAACGUUAAUCGGGGCAGGGUGAGUCGACCCCUAAGGCGAGGCCGAAAGGCGUAGUCGAUGGGAAACGGGUUAAUAUUCCCGUACUUGGUGUUACUGCGAAGGGGGGACGGAGAAGGCUAUGUUGGCCGGGCGACGGUUGUCCCGGUUUAAGCGUGUAGGUGUGUGUUCCAGGUAAAUCCGGUUCACUUUAACACUGAGGCGUGAUGACGAGGCACUACGGUGCUGAAGCAACAAAUGCCCUGCUUCCAGGAAAAGCCUCUAAGCAUCAGGUAACAUCAAAUCGUACCCCAAACCGACACAGGUGGUCAGGUAGAGAAUACCAAGGCGCUUGAGAGAACUCGGGUGAAGGAACUAGGCAAAAUGGUGCCGUAACUUCGGGAGAAGGCACGCUGACACGUAGGUGAAGUGAUUUACUCACGGAGCUGAAGUCAGUCGAAGAUACCAGCUGGCUGCAACUGUUUAUUAAAAACACAGCACUGUGCAAACACGAAAGUGGACGUAUACGGUGUGACGCCUGCCCGGUGCCGGAAGGUUAAUUGAUGGGGUCAGCGCAAGCGAAGCUCCUGAUCGAAGCCCCGGUAAACGGCGGCCGUAACUAUAACGGUCCUAAGGUAGCGAAAUUCCUUGUCGGGUAAGUUCCGACCUGCACGAAUGGCGUAAUGAUGGCCAGGCUGUCUCCACCCGAGACUCAGUGAAAUUGAACUCGCUGUGAAGAUGCAGUGUACCCGCGGCAAGACGGAAAGACCCCGUGAACCUUUACUAUAGCUUGACACUGAACAUUGAGCCUUGAUGUGUAGGAUAGGUGGGAGGCUUUGAAGUGUGGACGCCAGUCUGCAUGGAGCCGACCUUGAAAUACCACCCUUUAAUGUUUGAUGUUCUAACGUGGACCCGUGAUCCGGGUUGCGGACAGUGUCUGGUGGGUAGUUUGACUGGGGCGGUCUCCUCCUAAAGAGUAACGGAGGAGCACGAAGGUUGGCUAAUCCUGGUCGGACAUCAGGAGGUUAGUGCAAUGGCAUAAGCCAGCUUGACUGCGAGCGUGACGGCGCGAGCAGGUGCGAAAGCAGGUCAUAGUGAUCCGGUGGUUCUGAAUGGAAGGGCCAUCGCUCAACGGAUAAAAGGUACUCCGGGGAUAACAGGCUGAUACCGCCCAAGAGUUCAUAUCGACGGCGGUGUUUGGCACCUCGAUGUCGGCUCAUCACAUCCUGGGGCUGAAGUAGGUCCCAAGGGUAUGGCUGUUCGCCAUUUAAAGUGGUACGCGAGCUGGGUUUAGAACGUCGUGAGACAGUUCGGUCCCUAUCUGCCGUGGGCGCUGGAGAACUGAGGGGGGCUGCUCCUAGUACGAGAGGACCGGAGUGGACGCAUCACUGGUGUUCGGGUUGUCAUGCCAAUGGCACU